AGAACUAUAGUUCUGAUAAAAGGAAUGAUAGGUGCAUGAUACCUUGAAACUUUUGCAUUAAAACUACGAGGUAGCAUCAUAAAAGUAAUGGUGUUAUAAGCCCGUUAAAGUCGGCAGAAGCUUGGGAAAGAUUAAUAGCUUAUACAGCAUUAUGACGAGUCAGGUAAUAUGCCGGAUGGCUAUAAA
RNAcentral lists this non-coding RNA (186 nucleotides) under Clostridium cuniculi. The record is from RNAcentral. Lineage: Bacteria; Bacillati; Bacillota; Clostridia; Eubacteriales; Clostridiaceae.